GUGUUACUCCCUCCGUCUGAAAAAGCUUGUCCCUCAAAUGGAUGUAUCUAGCACCAAGUUAGUGCUAGAUACAUCUAUUAAGGAACAAGCUUGGGACAAGUUUUUUCGGACGGAGGGAGUACCUA
Triticum aestivum (bread wheat) is the source of this 125-nucleotide non-coding RNA. The record is from Rfam. NCBI's taxonomy places the organism in Eukaryota, Viridiplantae, Streptophyta, Magnoliopsida, Poales, Poaceae.